This 73-nucleotide transfer RNA is filed under the name Rattus norvegicus (Norway rat). It matches the Rfam family "tRNA". From Rfam's summary of the family: Transfer RNA (tRNA) molecules are approximately 80 nucleotides in length. Their secondary structure includes four short double-helical elements and three loops (D, anti-codon, and T loops). Lineage: Eukaryota; Metazoa; Chordata; Mammalia; Rodentia; Muridae. The record is from Rfam by way of RNAcentral.
GCCCAGCUAUCUCAGUUGGUAAAGCAUGACACUCUUAAUCUCAGGGUCGUGGGUUUGAGUCCCAUAUUGGGCG